GGACUACUGGGGUAUCUAAUCCUGUUUGCUCCCCACGCUUUCGCGCCUCAGCGUCAGUUACAGACCAGAAAGUCGCCUUCGCCACUGGUGUUCCUCCAAAUCUCUACGCAUUUCACCGCUACACUUGGAAUUCCACUUUCCUCUUCUGCACUCAAGUUUCCCAGUUUCCAAUGACCCUCCCCGGUUGAGCCGGGGGCUUUCACAUCAGACUUAAGAAACCGCCUGCGCGCGCUUUACGCCCAAUAAUUCCGGACAACGCUUGCCACCUACGUAUUACCGCGGCUGCUGGCAC
This 292-nucleotide ribosomal RNA is filed under the name uncultured bacterium. Its description in RNAcentral is "partial 16S ribosomal RNA". The record is from RNAcentral.